CCCAGGUUGCAAAAAAUUAUAUUGUCAAACUCAUACAUCCAUGUAGCAAUAUACAUCACGCUACAUCUAAGUCACAUGUCCAAAAUGACAAAGAACAUAGCCAUUUCAACAUCUUGAAUAUUCAUCAAGCUAACAAAAAGAGCUGUAGCUACCCCUAAACAUUAUUAAGGCUUUUCACUUUACUGAGACAUCCUCCAUACCACACUAUUAACCAAUCUGAAAAGAAGCAAAUGGUAGCCAAAUUAGUCAAAGAUAUAAAGAUUAGAGUUAGCUCUAGGUUCACACAUAUCUAUUGGACAGAACCAAGCUCUCUGGUCAACAUAUAACAGUUAAUGAAACAAAUCUAUCCACAAAAAUAAUACUACUACUAGGAUGUACCCUGAAACAAGCUCCCUGGUCAUAAUUUUAAAAUAUUAUCCAUUUAUCUGACACUAAGACUGUACAACAUUACAGAACCAUAGUAUCCUAACUAUAUAGAAAAGCCAAUAAACGGUAGAAAUAGUUGGUCAAUGAAGGGUUACUUGAGGCUUGCAGAUGGAGUGAGUAAAAAACGUGCUCUUAACAUAAACCUGCAACCAUGGCACCAGGAUAGCUGAUCAAAAC
RNAcentral lists this long non-coding RNA (603 nucleotides) under Sorghum bicolor (sorghum). RNAcentral describes it as "long non-coding RNA (SBIC_LNC002665)". The record is from RNAcentral. Lineage: Eukaryota; Viridiplantae; Streptophyta; Magnoliopsida; Poales; Poaceae.